Molecule: long non-coding RNA, 2075 nt
Organism: Solanum dulcamara
Lineage: Eukaryota; Viridiplantae; Streptophyta; Magnoliopsida; Solanales; Solanaceae
Exons: 3
Source: RefSeq, a predicted model, not a curated record
GAAUUCUAGAAAAUUCAAGAGGAAGAAGAGAAGAGAAACUUGAAGCUAGAGAGAGAGCUCGAUUUUGGGGGAGAAAAAGAAAGCCCAAAACGUUAUCAAACAGCCCCAAAAUUUUAGCCGCACUACGAGAGCUUCCGAGGCAAGUUUUGGCGAGUUUUGGUGAAUUUUGAGCAAGAUUUUUGGGAAGGCCAAGAUUUAAGUGGGAUUGACUAAGGAAGCUGACAAGGUAUGUAAGGCUUACCCUUUUCUUUCAAGGCAUGAUUCAGAUGUUAUGAUUUUAUAAGUGCUUCCAUAUUUUCUUUGUUUUCAAAAGCUAGGUGUCAAUGGUCCCAAGGAAAUGACUACUUUUCCUAUAACCCGUCAAUGUUUUCCAAAAUGUCUAUAGUUUCCCAAAACAAAGGUUUAUAGUAUUACAAGAUUUUAUGACAAUAACGAUGGAUAUGUUUUACAAACGACAUUGAUGAUGUCGAGGAUGAGAAUAUGUCUAUGAUGGCUAUGAUAAGAACGGCUUCAUGUAUGUAAGGUUUACUCUUCUUUCUCUUGGCAUGUUUUGACAUAAGUAUAUAGAGCUACUCUUUCUUUUGGCAUGGGUUUUAUGAAACAAGUAUAUGACAUUUUAUACAAUUUCAAGGAAGUCCUAUUCGUAGAGCCACUAGGAUGACCAAUUUUCUUGAGUUUCCAAAGGAUAUUUUCUCGUGCUUAGAUACGUGUAUAUGAUUCCAAAAGUUUUAUUUGAUAUAAUCCAUGGUAAUUUUCGAAAGGUACUUGAUAUGACUCUUGUCUUGAUUCUUUUGAAUCACAGCUCAUUCCGAUUAUUCUAUGAGUCUUGAAAAUUGGUCCUAUGUGCAUAUGUAUACGAUUUGGCGCCUUACGAGAUUGUGACCUUAUUCUACGUUCUCUUAAUAUUAUCCUUCGUGGAUAGUCUCAUCUUAUAAUAAUUGUUCCUUCAAGGUGAGACAAAGUGACCAUGGUUAGUCUAUAAUACAAUCGGAGGUUACCGACCUUCCGUCACUCCGACAGAUACAUGACUUUCGUUGAGCUCUCCUGCAUGCUGUCUAUAUGUAUAUGUAUAUGUAUAUGUAUAUGUAUAUAGGGGAUAUGGGGAAGGUUCAUAUGUGGCGCUAUAGACGCAUUGCCACCUGGUUAGUUGGCGUAAUUUUCAUCCAGGACGCGGGAUGCCCGGACUCGGGACAUAUGUGGGCGAUAUGACAUGUUCUAUUUUCUAUGGAUAUGAAAAAGAAAUGUUUUUAAAGGAAAAAAGACAAGCAUGCAUGGCAUCCUACUUAAAAGGCACUCAUAUGUACAGGUUACUCUCUUAUCUCACUAUUUGUUCUAUGAUUCUAUGAUAUGGCUGUUCAUACCUUAUGUUCUUUGUUAUGCUGAUUUUCAUGCCUUACAUACUCGGUACAUUACUCGUACUGACCCCCUUUUCUCCGGGGGCUGCGUUUCAUGCCGCGCAGGUACACCCAGACGAGUAGAAGCUAUUAUAGAAGAUGUUCCAGCAGGCUUAGCAACUCCACUUGUUCCUGGAGUGCUUCUUAGUCAGAGUAUAUGCGCUAUGGUGUUUCGUUCGAAGUUAGAGACUUUGCAGACAGAGUCGUGGGUAUAGAGUGUCAGCUUUGUAAGCGGCGUCACCAGCCAAUAUGUUAUUAUGUCGUAUGUCACGAGUUAUAUGGGAUGAUAGAUUUUCGAAAGCAAGAUUUGCAAAGCUUAGCUAUGUUUUUUUUCAUUUCUUUUGAUGUACAAGUCUAAAUAGAUUAAGUAUGUAAUAUGAGGUAACAGGUUCGCUCGACUCCGAGCAUGGGGUCGGGUGCCCAUCACACCCUAUUAAGAUCGGGGUGUGACACCGUCCUUGGACGCUACAUUGUUUCAUGAUGUAGGAUCGGAGACACGGGUUUGUAGUUCCGAGCAGCAGUGAACUAACAACGGUUAGCAUUGUGGUGAGCUUUCCAUCUUCCGGAAAGAAGACUUUCCUUUCAUCAGUAUUUUCUUUGGUUUUCAUGGUAUGUCGGGGAUCAUGUCCCGACGUAGACAUUGUUAUUCUUUUAGUAGAGGUUUUGUAGACCUAUGGUUAG